GUGUCAAUAUCAAUGUCCAAGUUGAAUUGAUAUUGGCCCCAAUAUCAAUGUUGAGGUUUGAAUAUGAACAUCCAAACGAAGCAUUGCGGUUUCACACGAUACGUAAAUAUCUCGGGAGCGAUAUUUUUUCAAUGGCGAUAAAUUUUAUUCAAUCAGGCAGAAUUGGAUCCAGGAAAAAGCAGUGACAUAUAGACUACGAUUUCAGAAUGCAUAUCUCAAGGACGACUAUUCUUAUCAAUAGGUGCACUGAGUUUCUUGGGAGCGCAACAACAUCGGUGGUGAAACUCGCCUAUCAUUUGGCAAGAGGCAAAUAAACCAUUGCAGUCACGCCUGCACAACUCUAGAUCGCAACUCAGGAAAGGCAUGAAACAUCCUCCUUCUACAUGUUCACAGAAAAACAUUGUUAGAAGAAUAUCCAGACAACAUGGCAAGUUACGCUUCAGCAUGGACCAGAUGCCAUAAGAUCCAUACAACUUGACAUUGUGAAAUAUAUAGAAAAUUAGCAUCACAUGGCAAAACCACAGUGACUUAUAGUAGGCAUGUACCUGGGCCAAACGCAUCGCAAGACGAAAUGACAGUAGCGAUGAGCACAAGAGCCAACAAGCACUGGGCACUUGCGUUCUUGUUGAAUAUUGCCAUGACGGCCUUUUUUCCUUCUCUAUGUUAUGUUGUCCUUCGGAAUUUCUGUGGGUUGCAAGGCUCUCUUUUGGCAGUACUUUUAUAGAAGCAAAUGAAUGUUUUGGAGCACCAUAAAU
RNAcentral lists this long non-coding RNA (755 nucleotides) under Triticum aestivum (bread wheat). RNAcentral describes it as "long non-coding RNA (TAES_LNC017255)". The record is from RNAcentral. Lineage: Eukaryota; Viridiplantae; Streptophyta; Magnoliopsida; Poales; Poaceae.